AUUGAGCGCUGGCGGCAGGCCUAACACAUGCAAGUCGAGCGGAUGAAGGGAGCUUGCUCCUGGAUUCAGCGGCGGACGGGUGAGUAAGGCCUAGGAAUCUGCCUGGUAGUGGGGGAUAACGUCCGGAAACGGGCGCUAAUACCGCAUACGUCCUGAGGGAGAAAGUGGGGGAUCUUCGGACCUCACGCUAUCAGAUGAGCCUAGGUCGGAUUAGCUAGUUGGUGGGGUAAAGGCCUACCAAGGCGACGAUCCGUAACUGGUCUGAGAGGAUGAUCAGUCACACUGGAACUGAGACACGGUCCAGACUCCUACGGGAGGCAGCAGUGGGGAAUAUUGGACAAUGGGCGAAAGCCUGAUCCAGCCAUGCCGCGUGUGUGAAGAAGGUCUUCGGAUUGUAAAGCACUUUAAGUUGGGAGGAAGGGCAGUAAGUUAAUACCUUGCUGUUUUGACGUUACCAACAGAAUAAGCACCGGCUAACUUCGUG
RNAcentral lists this ribosomal RNA (484 nucleotides) under uncultured bacterium. Its description in RNAcentral is "partial 16S ribosomal RNA". It matches the Rfam family "Bacterial small subunit ribosomal RNA", at positions 30 to 507 of the family's 1533-position model. The record is from RNAcentral.